CCCUUAGAUGUCCGGGGCCGCACGCGCGCUACACUGUUUGAUUCAGCGAGUCUUAACCUUGACCGAAGGGUUUGGGUAAUCUUCUAAAGUCAAACGUGAUGGGGAUCGAUCAUUGCAAUUAUUGAUCGUGAACGAGGAAUUCCUAGUAAAUGCAAGUCAUCAGCUUGCGUUGAUUACGUCCCUGCCCUUUGUACACACCGCCCGUCGCUACUACCGAUUGAAUGGUUUAGUGAGAUCUCCGGAUUGGCUCUGUAGGUCCCGCAAGGGAUUUAUUAGUAGCCAAGAAGCUGCUCAAACUUGAUCAUUUAGAGGAAGUAAAAGUCGUAACA
Molecule: ribosomal RNA, 329 nt
Filed under: uncultured eukaryote
Lineage: Eukaryota
Description: partial 18S ribosomal RNA
Rfam family: Eukaryotic small subunit ribosomal RNA
Source: RNAcentral